CCCUUAGAUGUUCUGGGCUGCACGCGCGCUACACUGUCGGAUUCAGCGAGUCAUAUCCUUAACCGAAAGGUUUGGGUAAUCUUUUGAAAGUCCGACGUGAUGGGGAUUGAUCAUUGCAAUUAUUGAUCAUGAACGAGGAAUUCCUAGUAAGCGCGAGUCAUCAGCUCGCGUUGAUUACGUCCCUGCCCUUUGUACACACCGCCCGUCGCUACUACCGAUUGAAUGGUUUAGUGAGAUCUUCGGAUUGGCGCCUACGCGGCUUCUCUGAGGCCACGCUGGAUGCCGAAAAGUUGCUCAAACUGUAUCAUUUAGAGGAAGUAAAAGUGGUAACA
This 332-nucleotide ribosomal RNA is filed under the name uncultured eukaryote. Its description in RNAcentral is "partial 18S ribosomal RNA". It matches the Rfam family "Eukaryotic small subunit ribosomal RNA", at positions 1470 to 1796 of the family's 1831-position model. The record is from RNAcentral.